Long non-coding RNA from Melanotaenia boesemani (Boeseman's rainbowfish), 168 nucleotides. RefSeq lists it as uncharacterized. Lineage: Eukaryota; Metazoa; Chordata; Actinopteri; Atheriniformes; Melanotaeniidae. The transcript is spliced from 3 exons. The record is from RefSeq and is a predicted model, not a curated record.
GUGUUUUACCUUUAAUGCUGCGCCUUGGCCUCCAAUCAGGAUAUAUGGAGCCUGUAUUUUAACCAUCACUCCAUCCGUCUCCUCUUCCCACUUAUCCUUAAAUGUUGAACUGGCUGAUGGAUCAAAGAACAUUGUACAGUGAGGAGGUAAUAUUGGAGGAAAACUCUU